CAGUGGUGCAGCUCUUUUAGAAUUUGUCUAGCAGGUUUUCCAGUUCUCACCGGAAGAUUCCC
Molecule: small nuclear RNA, 62 nt
Filed under: Prolemur simus (greater bamboo lemur)
Lineage: Eukaryota; Metazoa; Chordata; Mammalia; Primates; Lemuridae
Description: U7 small nuclear RNA (ENSPSMG00000008016.1)
Rfam family: U7 small nuclear RNA
About the family: Animal histone pre-mRNAs are spliced by a different mechanism than nuclear pre-mRNAs and self-splicing introns. This processing involves the U7 snRNP, which contains only one RNA species: U7. The 5' end of U7 RNA is thought to base-pair to a conserved spacer element downstream of the cleavage site in histone pre-mRNA.
Source: RNAcentral